Molecule: ribosomal RNA, 490 nt
Filed under: uncultured bacterium
Lineage: Bacteria
Description: partial 16S ribosomal RNA
Rfam family: Bacterial small subunit ribosomal RNA
Source: RNAcentral
AUUGAACGCUGGCGGCAGGCCUAACACAUGCAAGUCGAACGGUAACAGGAAGCAGCUUGCUGCUUCGCUGACGAGUGGCGGACGGGUGAGUAAUGUCUGGGAAGCUGCCUGAUGGAGGGGGAUAACUACUGGAAACGGUAGCUAAUACCGCAUAAUGUCGCAAGACCAAAGAGGGGGACCUUCGGGCCUCUUGCCAUCGGAUGUGCCCAGAUGGGAUUAGCUUGUUGGUGGGGUAACGGCUCACCAAGGCGACGAUCCCUAGCUGGUCUGAGAGGAUGACCAGCCACACUGGAACUGAGACACGGUCCAGACUCCUACGGGAGGCAGCAGUGGGGAAUAUUGCACAAUGGGCGCAAGCCUGAUGCAGCCAUGCCGCGUGUAUGAAGAAGGCCUUCGGGUUGUAAAGUACUUUCAGCGGGGAGGAAGGGAGUAAAGUUAAUACCUUUGCUCAUUGACGUUACCCGCAGAAGAAGCACCGGCUAACUCCGUA